This 379-nucleotide ribosomal RNA is filed under the name uncultured eukaryote. Its description in RNAcentral is "partial 18S ribosomal RNA". It matches the Rfam family "Eukaryotic small subunit ribosomal RNA", at positions 592 to 976 of the family's 1831-position model. The record is from RNAcentral.
CAAUAGCGUAUAUUUAAGUUGUUGCAGUUAAAAAGCUCGUAGUUGGAUUUCGGAUGGGACUUGCCGGUCCGUCGUUUCGAUGUGCACUGGCCAGUCCUAUCUUGUUGUCGGGGACUAGCUCCUGGGCUUCACUGUCCGGGACUAGGAGCUGACGAGGUUACUUUGAGUAAAUUAGAGUGUUCAAAGCAAGCCUACGCUCUGAAUACAUUAGCAUGGAAUAACACGAUAGGACUCUGGCUUAUCUUGUUGGUCUGUGAGACCAGAGUAAUGAUUAAGAGGGACAGUCGGGGGCAUUCGUAUUUCAUUGUCAGAGGUGAAAUUCUUGGAUUUAUGAAAGACGAACUUCUGCGAAAGCGUUUGUCAAGGAUGUUUUCAUUAA